This 170-nucleotide unclassified non-coding RNA is filed under the name uncultured Dothideomycetes. RNAcentral describes it as "sequence contains ITS1". The record is from RNAcentral. Lineage: Eukaryota; Fungi; Ascomycota; Dothideomycetes.
GAGAGCGGCACUCGUGCCGGACCCUCUCCCACCCUUGUGUAUCCACCUCUGUUGCCUUGGCGGGAGCCCCUUUGGGGGCCCAAAGCGCGGGAGCUUAGGCCCCGCGGCCCGUCAGAGGCCCCAUCAGUAACACCGCCAUCGUGUCUAUCCGAGUCGUGGUUAUUAAAGCA